GACGAACGCUGGCGGCGUGCCUAAUACAUGCAAGUUGAGCGCUGAAGGUUGGUACUUGUACCAACUGGAUGAGCAGCGAACGGGUGAGUAACGCGUGGGAAAUCUGCCUUUGAGCAGGGGACAACAUUUGGAAACGAAUGCUAAUACCGCAUAAAAACUUUAAACACAAGUUUUAAGUUUGAAAGAUGCAAUUGCAUCACUCAAAGAUGAUCCCGCGUUGUAUUAGCUAGUUGGUGAGGUAAAGGCUCACCAAGGCGAUGAUACAUAGCCGACCUGAGAGGGUGAUCGGCCACAUUGGGACUGAGACACGGCCCAAACUCCUACGGGAGGCAGCAGUAGGGAAUCUUCGGCAAUGGACGAAAGUCUGACCGAGCAACGCCGCGUGAGUGAAGAAGGGUUUCGGAUCGUAAAACUCUGUUGGUAGAGAAGAACGUUGGUGAGAGUGGAAAGCUCACCAAGUGACGGUAACUACCCAGAAAGGGACGGCUAACUACGUG
Molecule: ribosomal RNA, 497 nt
Filed under: uncultured bacterium
Lineage: Bacteria
Description: partial 16S ribosomal RNA
Rfam family: Bacterial small subunit ribosomal RNA
Source: RNAcentral